CACAGAUGUUAAUGACGUGUUCAAUCUGCAUCUUGGCUGUAAUCUUUCGUUGACGACAAUUAGUUUGCGUAUCAUGUCGCAUGGUGAACCAGCUGUACAGUGGUAGCAGGACAUAUCUCAAAUCCAAUUGUUAUUGCCCAGACAGCUACUGAUCUAAACUCAGUUCUUCACAGUCAAUGCAAGCAUUAACAUUACAAGUGCGUUCUGCUAUUGGAUGUAGAACGUAACAACACCACAAUAUCUUCUCCUAUUGGAUGGUGAACGUAGCAACACUAAAAUACGUUCUGCUAUUGGAUGGUGAACGUAGCAACACCACAAUACGUUCUGCUAUUAGAUGUUGAAUGUAGCAACACCACAAUACGUUCUGCUAUUGGAUGGUGAACGUAGCAACACCACAAUACGUUCUGCUAUUGGAUGGUGAACGUAGCAACACCACAAUACGUUCUGCUAUUGAAUGUUGAACGUAGCAACACCACAAUACGUUCUGCUAUUGAAUGUUGAACGUAGCAACACCACAAUACGUUCUGCUAUUGGAUGGUGAACGUAGCAACACCACAAUACGUUCUGCUAUUAGAUGUUGAAUGUAGCAACACCACAAUACGUUCUGCUAUUGGAUGGUGAACGUAGCAACACCACAAUACGUUCUGCUAUUGGAUGGUGAACGUAGCAACACCACAAUACAUUCUGCUAUUGGAUGGUGAACGUAGCAACACCACAAUACGUUCUGCUAUUGGAUGGUGAACGUAGCAACACCACAAUACGUUCUGCUAUUAGAUGUUGAAUGUAGCAACACCACAAUACGUUCUGCUAUUGGAUGGUGAACGUAGCAACACCACAAUACGUUCUGCUAUUAGAUGUUGAAUGUAGCAACACCACAAUACGUUCUGCUAUUGGAUGGUGAACGUAGCAACACCACAAUACGUUCUGCUAUUAGAUGUUGAAUGUAGCAACACCACAAUACGGUCUGCUAUUAGAUGUUGAAUGUAGCAACACCACAAUACGUUCUGCUAUUAGAUGUUGAAUGUAGCAACACCACAAUACGUUCUGCUAUUGGAUGGUGAACGUAGCAACACCACAAUACGUUCUGCUAUUAGAUGUUGAAUGUAGCAACACCACAAUACCUUCUGCUAUUAGAUGUUGAAUGUAGCAACACCACAAUACCUUCUGCUAUUAGAUGUUGAAUGUAGCAACACCACAAUACGUUCUGCUAUUGGAUGGUGAACGUAGCAACACCACAAUACGUUCCGCUAUUAGAUGUUGAAUGUAGCAACACCACAAUACGUUCUGCUAUUGAAUGUUGAACGUAGCAACACCACAAUACGUUCUGCUAUUGAAUGUUGAAUGUAGCAACACCACAAUACGUUCUGCUAUUGAAUGUUGAACGUAGCAACACCACAAUACGUUCUGCUAUAAGAUGUUGAACGUAGCAACACCACAAUACGUUCUGCUAUUGGAUGGUGAACGUAGCAACACCACAAUACGUUCUGCUAUUAGAUGUUGAAUGUAGCAACACCACAAUACGUUCUGCUAUUAGAUGUUGAA
Xenia sp. Carnegie-2017 is the source of this 1542-nucleotide long non-coding RNA. RefSeq lists it as uncharacterized. The transcript has 3 exons. Lineage: Eukaryota; Metazoa; Cnidaria; Anthozoa; Malacalcyonacea; Xeniidae. The record is from RefSeq and is a predicted model, not a curated record.